RNAcentral lists this transfer RNA (72 nucleotides) under Porphyromonas bennonis. It matches the Rfam family "tRNA". From Rfam's summary of the family: Transfer RNA (tRNA) molecules are approximately 80 nucleotides in length. Their secondary structure includes four short double-helical elements and three loops (D, anti-codon, and T loops). RNAcentral also lists the same sequence under 6 other names. The record is from RNAcentral. Lineage: Bacteria; Pseudomonadati; Bacteroidota; Bacteroidia; Bacteroidales; Porphyromonadaceae.
GCCGCUUUAGCUCAGUGGUAGAGCGCAUCCUUGGUAAGGAUGAGGUCCCGAGUUCAACUCUCGGAAGCGGCU